AUAGAAGAAGAUGAAGAAGAAGAAGAAGAAGAAGAGGCAAGAACAGAGGAUGU
RNAcentral lists this small RNA (53 nucleotides) under Arabidopsis thaliana (thale cress). RNAcentral describes it as "ATSL182800". Lineage: Eukaryota; Viridiplantae; Streptophyta; Magnoliopsida; Brassicales; Brassicaceae. The record is from RNAcentral.